Molecule: ribosomal RNA, 505 nt
Filed under: Troides haliphron socrates
Lineage: Eukaryota; Metazoa; Arthropoda; Insecta; Lepidoptera; Papilionidae
Description: partial 16S ribosomal RNA
Source: RNAcentral
UUUUUGUAAUUAAUAUAAAGUCUAAUCUGCCCCCUGAUAAAUUAUUAAAGGGCUGCCGUAUUUUGACUGUACAAAGGUAGCAUAAUCGUUUGUCUCUUAAUUGGUGACUUGUAUGAAAGAUUGGAUGAAAUAUAAACUGUCUCAUUAUAAUAAGUAAAAUUUAAUUUUUUAGUAAAAAAGCUAAAAUAAUUUUAAAAGACGAGAAGACCCUAUAGAGUUUAAUAAUUAUUUUUAUAUAAAAUAAAAUAUAAAAAUUUAAAUUUAAAUGAAAAUAAUUAUUUUGUUGGGGUGAUAGAAAAAUUAAAUUAACUUUUUUUAAUAGAUAUACAUUAAUAAGUGAUUAAAUGAUCCAUUAAUAAUGAUUAUAAGAAAAAAUUACCUUAGGGAUAACAGCGUAAUUUUUUUUUUUAGGCCAAAUAAGAAAAAGAGUUUGCGACCUCGAUGUUGGAUUAAGAUAAAAUUUAAAUGUAAAAGUUUAAAGUUUUGAUCUGUUCGAUCAUUAAAA